ACGCUCGACACCUACGGGAGGCAGCAGUGAGGGAUAUUCGGCAAUGGGGGAAACCCUGACCGAGCAACGCCGCGUGAGGGAAGACGGUUUUCGGAUUGUAAACCUCUGUCCUCUGUGAAGAUAGUGACGGUAGCAGAGGAGGAAGCUCCGGCUAACUACGUGCCGGCAGCCGCGGUAAUCUGAGCGGGCUGGCAAGGC
This 198-nucleotide ribosomal RNA is filed under the name uncultured bacterium. RNAcentral describes it as "partial 16S ribosomal RNA". It matches the Rfam family "Bacterial small subunit ribosomal RNA", at positions 328 to 539 of the family's 1533-position model. The record is from RNAcentral.